GUCUAUGGCCAUGCCACCCUGAACAAGCCCGAUCCUGUCUGAUCUCGGAAGCUAAGCAGGGUCGGGCCUGGUUAGUACUUGGAUGGGAGACCACCUAGGAAGACCAGGUGCUGUAGGCA
Molecule: ribosomal RNA, 119 nt
Filed under: Pteropus alecto (black flying fox)
Lineage: Eukaryota; Metazoa; Chordata; Mammalia; Chiroptera; Pteropodidae
Source: RNAcentral